UACGAGGGAGGCAAGCGUUAUCCGGAAUUAUUGGGCGUAAAGCGUUUGUAGGCGGGCGAGUGUGUUUAAUGUUAAAUCUUAAAGCUCAACUUUGAAAUUGCGUUAAAAACUGCUUGUCUUGAGUAUGGUAGGGGUAAAGGGAAUUCCCAGUGUAGCGGUGAAAUGCGUAGAUAUUGGGAAGAACACUAAACAGCGAAGGCACUUUACUAGGCUAAUACUGACGCUGAGAAACGAAAGGUAAGGUAGCGAAACGGAUUAGAUACCCGUGUAGUCUUACCCGUAAACUAUGGACACUAAACGGUAAAUUUUUAAUUUACUGUUAAAGCUAACGCGUUAAGUGUCCCGCCUGGGGAGUAUGCUUGCAAAAGUGAAACUCAAAGGAAUUGACGGGGGCCCGCACAAGCGGUGGAGCAUGUGGUUUAAUUCGACGGUACACGAAGAACCUUACCAGGAUUUGACAUGCUAGAUAGUUGCUUGAAAGAGUAACGUGCCGUAAGGAAUCUAGACACAGGUGGUGCAUGGCUGUCGUCAGUUCGUGUUGUGAAAUGUUGGGUUAAGUCCCGCAACGAACGCAACCCUUGUCUUUAGUUAUUUUCUAAAGAGACUGCCUGUAAUAAACAGGAGGAAGGUAAGGAUGAGGUCAAGUCAUCAUGCCCCUUAUGUCCUGGGCUACACACGUGCUACAAUGGGAAAGACAAUGAGCUGCAAAUCUGUAAAUUUAAGCAAAUCUCUUAAACUUUCUCGUAGUUCGGAUUGUGGGCUGCAACUCGCCCACAUGAAGUUGGAAUCGCUAGUAAUCGCCAGUCAGCUAUAUGGCGGUGAAUCCGUUCCCGGGCCU
RNAcentral lists this ribosomal RNA (838 nucleotides) under uncultured bacterium. RNAcentral's name for it is "bacterial SSU rRNA". It matches the Rfam family "Bacterial small subunit ribosomal RNA", at positions 524 to 1381 of the family's 1533-position model. The record is from RNAcentral.